Molecule: ribosomal RNA, 497 nt
Filed under: uncultured bacterium
Lineage: Bacteria
Description: partial 16S ribosomal RNA
Rfam family: Bacterial small subunit ribosomal RNA
Source: RNAcentral
GACGAACGCUGGCGGCGUGCCUAAUACAUGCAAGUUGAGCGAUGAAGAUUGGUGCUUGCACCAAUUUGAAGAGCAGCGAACGGGUGAGUAACGCGUGGGGAAUCUGCCUUUGAGCGGGGGACAACAUUUGGAAACGAAUGCUAAUACCGCAUAACAACUUUAAACAUAAGUUUUAAGUUUGAAAGAUGCAAUUGCAUCACUCAAAGAUGAUCCCGCGUUGUAUUAGCUAGUUGGUGGGGUAAAGGCUCACCAAGGCGAUGAUACAUAGCCGACCUGAGAGGGUGAACGGCCACAUUGGGACUGAGACACGGCCCAAACUCCUACGGGAGGCAGCAGUAGGGAAUCUUCGGAAAUGGACGAAAGUCUGACCGAGCAACGCCGCGUGAGUGAAGAAGGGUUUCGGAUCGUAAAACUCUGUUGGUAGAGAAGAACGUUGGUGAGAGUGGAAAGCUCAUCAAGUGACGGUAACUACACAGAAAGGGACGGCUAACUACGUG